RNAcentral lists this non-coding RNA (28 nucleotides) under Homo sapiens (human). Lineage: Eukaryota; Metazoa; Chordata; Mammalia; Primates; Hominidae. The record is from RNAcentral.
UAGAAAAGUUUGAGAAGGAUUGGUGUUC